GCAAGCCUGACGGAGCAAUACCGCGUGAGGGAGGAAGGCCUUUGGGUUGUAAACCUCUUUUCUUAAGGAAGAAGAUCUGACGGUACUUAAGGAAUCAGCAUCGGCUAACUCCGUGCCAGCAGCCGCGGUAAUACGGAGGAUGCAAGCGUUAUCCGGAAUUAUUGGGCGUAAAGCGUCCGCAGGCGGCAUUAUAAGUCUGCUGUCAAAGACCGCAGCUCAACUGCGGAAAGGCAGUGGAAACUGUAAAGCUAGAGUACGGUAGGGGUAGAGGGAAUUCCCAGUGUAGCGGUGAAAUGCGUAGAUAUUGGGAAGAACACCAGUGGCGAAAGCGCUCUACUGGGCCGUAACUGACGCUCAGGGACGAAAGCUAGGGGAGCG
This 378-nucleotide ribosomal RNA is filed under the name uncultured cyanobacterium. RNAcentral's name for it is "bacterial SSU rRNA". It matches the Rfam family "Bacterial small subunit ribosomal RNA", at positions 377 to 770 of the family's 1533-position model. Lineage: Bacteria; Bacillati; Cyanobacteriota. The record is from RNAcentral.